UACGGAGGAUCCAAGCGUUAUCCGGAUUUAUUGGGUUUAAAGGGUGCGUAGGCGGAUUGAUAAGUUAGAGGUGAAAUGUCCGAGCUCAACUCGGGAACUGCCUCUAAUACUGUUGAUCUAGAGAGUAGAUGCGGUAGGCGGAAUGUAUGGUGUAGCGGUGAAAUGCUUAGAGAUCAUACGGAACACCGAUUGCGAAGGCAGCUUACCAAUCUAUAUCUGACGUUGAGGCACGAAAGCGUGGGGAGCAAACAGG
This 253-nucleotide ribosomal RNA is filed under the name uncultured bacterium. RNAcentral's name for it is "partial 16S ribosomal RNA". It matches the Rfam family "Bacterial small subunit ribosomal RNA", at positions 524 to 776 of the family's 1533-position model. The record is from RNAcentral.